Non-coding RNA from Hydra vulgaris (swiftwater hydra), 607 nucleotides. NCBI's taxonomy places the organism in Eukaryota, Metazoa, Cnidaria, Hydrozoa, Anthoathecata, Hydridae. The record is from RefSeq and is a predicted model, not a curated record.
CCAAGAGGGAGGGGCAAUUGAAGUAGUUUGCCCCGGGCAUCACAGUAUAUGGGGCAUCACAUAUGUCUUAAAAAAAAUUAUUUAAAUGAUAAAAAAUUUAGCUGAUAACAUAUUUAAAGUAUAAGCAAUUUUUGUGUAUAAAUUUCGUUUUCCUUUUAAACUUUGUUCACAUUUAAAAUAGGAUAAUUAUUACUUUAGAAGGUUUUCAUUUUCCAUUUGAACGCUCACGUUUUUAUUGGCCUUUUGUUUGCAUAAUAAAGUAAAUAUUAUUUUCUUUUUAAACGGCAUGUAGAAGUUCUUUUGGACUUGGAGAUGAAACAAAGCAAUGAAAAUUUUAUAAUGCAUUCUUUAUGUCGCAAUUUUUCUGGCUUCAACAAAUUUAGCUUUUAGGAAAUCCAAUCAAAAAUUGUUCAAAAAUGGGAAUGGAAACUUGGAGCUUAUUGUUAAGCAAGGCUACGACAAUGGCGCUAAUAUAGCAGGUAUUCACAAUGGAGUUCAAGCUUUGAUUAGGCAGAAUAGCAGAAUAAUCUACAAGCAUUUUUCAUUCCUUGCUCCGCUCGCAGUUUGAACUUGUGUGCAAUACACGCUAUUGAAUUAUUGGCUCCUG